Molecule: small nuclear RNA, 97 nt
Filed under: Otolemur garnettii (small-eared galago)
Lineage: Eukaryota; Metazoa; Chordata; Mammalia; Primates; Galagidae
Source: RNAcentral
GUGCAGCACGUAUACUGAAAUCUGAAUGAUACAGAGAAGAUUGGCCUGGCUCCUGUGGGAGGACAACAUGCGAAUACAUGAAGCAUUCCAUCUUUUG